Molecule: long non-coding RNA, 480 nt
Organism: Gopherus evgoodei (Goodes thornscrub tortoise)
Lineage: Eukaryota; Metazoa; Chordata; Testudines; Testudinidae
Exons: 3
Source: RefSeq, a predicted model, not a curated record
UUCAAGAUUUCAGUUCUCAUCUUUGAAGACCCAUGUUACCAGAGGGAUUGUCUCACCCAUGUUAUCAUGGCCUCCCAUGACAGCAACACUCCAGGGAGACAACAGAGCUGCCAACCUCAGAGUGAAAUUCCUGGGUGCAGGAGCUGGAGCUUUCUCAAUACCUAGCCCACAAGCCUGACACUCACUCCCGGGCCCAUUCAACCUAAAUGAUAGCAUCUGCUGGGACUGGGGAAGCAGACAUGCAGAAUCCUCACAAAUGGAAAUGCCAGGGAUGGAUCAGAUACCAGAUGCACAGGUGAUUCGGUCCCAUCUCUUCUGCAGAUGAGAAGUUAGCCUGGUUGCUGAGCUGGCUGGUGGAAGGACAUCGUGAGAGAGGCCAAGAUUUCCAAAAGCGAGAGUGGAAGUGGAAACAGUUGCAGGGUUAGGGGCUUACAGGGUAUUUUUGUUCAACGUGGCCUUCAGAUUGACCAACACAUGGUA